AGAUUACUAGACUCCAUCGCCCCAGUUUCUGAUUUAGUAGAUCUGGGGUGGGGCCAGGGAAUUUGC
Molecule: microRNA precursor, 66 nt
Filed under: Mustela putorius furo (domestic ferret)
Lineage: Eukaryota; Metazoa; Chordata; Mammalia; Carnivora; Mustelidae
Description: miRNA (ENSMPUG00000021276.1)
Source: RNAcentral